RNAcentral lists this ribosomal RNA (159 nucleotides) under Sciuro-hypnum oedipodium. Its description in RNAcentral is "5.8S ribosomal RNA". It matches the Rfam family "5.8S ribosomal RNA". From Rfam's summary of the family: 5.8S ribosomal RNA (5.8S rRNA) is a component of the large subunit of the eukaryotic ribosome. It is transcribed by RNA polymerase I as part of the 45S precursor that also contains 18S and 28S rRNA. Functionally, it is thought that 5.8S rRNA may be involved in ribosome translocation. Lineage: Eukaryota; Viridiplantae; Streptophyta; Bryopsida; Hypnales; Brachytheciaceae. RNAcentral also lists the same sequence under 9 other names. The record is from RNAcentral.
AACAACUCUCAGCAACGGAUAUCUUGGCUCUUGCAACGAUGAAGAACGCAGCGAAAUGCGAUACGUAGUGUGAAUUGCAGAAUUCCGCGAAUCAUCGAGUCUUUGAACGCAAGUUGCGCCCGAGGCUUGUCCGAGGGCAUUUCCGCUAGAGCGUCACCG